Molecule: ribosomal RNA, 433 nt
Filed under: uncultured bacterium
Lineage: Bacteria
Description: partial 16S ribosomal RNA
Rfam family: Bacterial small subunit ribosomal RNA
Source: RNAcentral
AACGAACGCUGGCGGCAUGCCUAACACAUGCAAGUCGAACGAGACCUUCGGGUGUAGUGGCGCCCGGGUGCGUAACGCGUGGGAACCUGCCUUUAGGUUCGGAAUAACUCAGAGAAAUUUGAGCUAAUACCGGAUGAUGUCUUCGGACCAAAGAUUUAUCGCCUUUAGAUGGGCCCGCGUUGGAUUAGCUAGUUGGUAGGGUAAAGGCCUACCAAGGCGACGAUCCAUAGCUGGUCUGAGAGGAUGAUCAGCCACACUGGGACUGAGACACGGCCCAGACUCUUACGGGAGGCAGCAGUGGGGAAUAGUGGACAAUGGGCGAAGGCCUGAUCCAGCAAUGCCGCGUGAGUGAUGAAGUCCUUAGAGUUGUAAUGCGCUUGUACCCGAGAUGAUAAUGACAGUAUCGGGAGAAUAAGCUCCGGCUAACUACGUG